AUCGCUUCUCGGCCUUUUGGCUAAGAUCAAGUGUAGAAGCUAGAUCCUGCUUAGUCUCUUUGAUUAACAAUGUCUUCAGGUAUAAAAUGGGGAUAGGAGGGAUUGGACUAGAUGACCUCUAAAGUCCCUCCUAUCUCCAACACAA
Monodelphis domestica (gray short-tailed opossum) is the source of this 145-nucleotide small nuclear RNA. Its record names the gene U2. It matches the Rfam family "U2 spliceosomal RNA". Rfam says of the family: U2 is a small nuclear RNA (snRNA) component of the spliceosome (involved in pre-mRNA splicing). Complementary binding between U2 snRNA (in an area lying towards the 5' end but 3' to hairpin I) and the branchpoint sequence (BPS) of the intron results the bulging out of an unpaired adenosine, on the BPS, which initiates a nucleophilic attack at the intronic 5' splice site, thus starting the first of two transesterification reactions that mediate splicing. The record is from Ensembl. NCBI's taxonomy places the organism in Eukaryota, Metazoa, Chordata, Mammalia, Didelphimorphia, Didelphidae.